AUCUCUGAAUAGUCAAUAAAAUGACUGGUCUUGAAAUGAUAGGUGUGGAACCACCCUCAGUCCAAUCAGCUGUGAUCAGAGACUGGGAUCGCAUGAUCCAGAGUCAGCUCAGCAGAGACCAUGGAUAAGGGCUAAAUGUAUUACCAAGUCCAAGCUAAUACUGCUUGCCACACAAUAGGCCAAUAUAUUGAGGGAUGAAGUGUUGGGGCAAAGAAUAACGACCGUAUUUGGAAAACCAGGAGACCCAGAUGAUCGUGCACCAGUGUCCCAAGAACUGUCUUACCCAGACCUAUGCAGGAGAGGAAGAGAAUUUCUAAGGCCCUUUUAAGGUCCCUACUUGGGUCUGAAAAUUAAACUGACAAAUGAACAAGAAAAAAGCCCACAAAUGCAUUUAAUAUGUUUUCCAUGACAC
Long non-coding RNA from Camelus dromedarius (Arabian camel), 412 nucleotides. RefSeq lists it as uncharacterized. The record is from RefSeq and is a predicted model, not a curated record. The transcript is spliced from 3 exons. Lineage: Eukaryota; Metazoa; Chordata; Mammalia; Artiodactyla; Camelidae.